UGCCAGCAGCCGCGGUAAUACGGAGGGGGCGAGCGUUAUUCGGAAUUAUUGGGCGUAAAGCGCGUGUAGGCGGUUCGUUAAGUCUGUUGUGAAAUCCCGGGGCUCAACCCCGGAACUGCAAUCGAAGCUGCCUCGCUAGAGUCCCGGAGAGGAAGGCGGAAUUCCCGGUGUAGAGGUGAAAUUCGUAGAUAUCGGGAGGAACACCAGUGGCGAAGGCGGCCUUCUGGACGGUGACUGACGCUGAGACGCGAAAGCGUGGGGAGCAAACAGGAUUAGAUAC
This 280-nucleotide ribosomal RNA is filed under the name uncultured bacterium. RNAcentral's name for it is "partial 16S ribosomal RNA". It matches the Rfam family "Bacterial small subunit ribosomal RNA", at positions 506 to 785 of the family's 1533-position model. The record is from RNAcentral.